Molecule: non-coding RNA, 412 nt
Organism: Camellia sinensis
Lineage: Eukaryota; Viridiplantae; Streptophyta; Magnoliopsida; Ericales; Theaceae
Source: RefSeq, a predicted model, not a curated record
GGGUUUUCACCCCAAAUAGUCCGGUACUUGGUGUGAUAGGCAUUCUCCACUGAACCAGCUAGCAAGCACACCUCCGCAAUGAAGAACAACACCCUGAAACGUAUUAAUUGAUGAUUUAAGUAUGUGUAUGAGGUGAACAUCUUGAAUUAUCCUUUCACAAUAUGCGAUAUUGAACUUUACCAAUUCGAUCAAAGAUCAAUAUAUCAGAUUAUAGUUGUAUGCCUCAAAAUCGGAACAUAACAUACCAGCAGGUAAUGAAAAGAAGAACUGCCCAAGCCCUUGAACCUCCAGGCCUCAAAGCCUUCCCGCAGCAGAAACAUCGACUUGCUACCAUUAUAACAACUUGACUGGCCAUGAGGACGAAGAAUGCACCAACUCCAUACCCCGUCGAAAUAUCUGAGUCGUAGACACA